GUACCCUUCGCUGCUCACGAUUGUACAUUCGGCCUCGCAGGAUUCCGAUCCCUGAAUUUACCAAACUACCCACGCACGCAUUUCCGCGAACGGUUGUUUGUGUAUGCGUGGCACCGUCACUGGAUAGAAUCAAUUACAUAGUGUAUAUAUAUAGAGAGAGAGGGAAGAGAGGAGAGGGAAGAGAGAGAGGGAAGAGAGGAGAGCGCCAGCGCCACCCCACAGAGAAAAACAACACACCAAAAACCCUAGAGAAUUAUCGCGGCGACUCGGGAAGAUGGACGCCGAGUCGACUCAGAUUCAGCAGGCGCAAUUGGCGGCGAUUUUGGGGGCGGACCCGGCGCCGUUCGAAACCCUGAUUUCUCACCUGAUGUCUUCCUCCAACGAGCAGCGAUCCCAGGCCGAGUCAGUCUUCAAUUUGAUUAAGCAGAACGAUCCUAACUCGCUCGUGCUCAAACUCGGCCACCUUAUCUCAUCGUCCGUGCACCAGGAGGCGCGAGCCAUGGCCGCCAUUCUCAUGCGGAAGCAAUUGACCCGCGAUGACUCGUAUAUCUGGCCGAACCUCACCGAGUCGACUCGCUCCGCUGUUAAAAACCUCCUGUUGUCCUCACUCCAGAGCGAGGAGUCGAAAUCGAUUAUUAAGAAACUGUGCGAUACCGUCUCGGAGCUCGCUUCCUCGCUCGUGCCGGAGAAUCAGUGGCCGGAAAUCCUGCCGUUUAUGUUUCAGUGCGUGACGUCUAGUGCUCCGAAGCUGCAGGAAUCGGCGUUCCUGAUGUUCUCACAACUGGCGCAGUUCAUCGGGGAAACGUUGAUUCCGUAUAUCACUGAUUUGCACACUGUUUUCCUCAACGUGUUGAAUAAUUCCUCCAAUCCAGAUGUGAAGAUCGCUGCGUUGAGCGCUGUCAUCAAUUUUAUUCAGUGCUUGACGAGCUCGAGCGAUCGCGAUAGGUUCCAGGAUUUGUUGCCAGCUAUGAUUAGGACAUUGACUGAGUCGCUGAACUCGGGGCAGGAGGCUACUGCUCAGGAGGCGUUGGAGCUGUUGAUUGAGUUGGCUGGGACGGAACCGAGGUUUUUGAGGAGGCAGAUUGUGGAUGUUGUUGGUGCCAUGUUGCAGAUUGCCGAAGCGGAGAGGUUGGAGGAAGGCACGCGUCAUUUAGCAAUUGAAUUUGUGAUUACACUAGCGGAAGCAAGGGAAAGAGCACCUGGGAUGAUGCGCAAAUUGCCGCAGUUCAUUAGCAGGCUUUUUGCCAAUUUGAUGAAGAUGCUUUUGGAUGUGGAGGAUGAUCCGGAGUGGCACAGUGCAGAAGUCAAGGACGAGGAUGCAGGGGAGACGAGUAAUUAUAGUGUUGGGCAGGAAUGCUUAGAUAGGCUCUCUAUAGCGCUUGGUGGGAAUACAAUUGUCCCCGUGGCAUCCGCGCAGUUUCAAACGUGCUUUUCUGCUCCUGAGUGGCAGAAGCAUCACGCAGCACUCAUUGCACUUGCACAGAUUGCAGAGGGCUGCUCCAAGGUGAUGGUUAAGGAUUUGGAACAUGUGGUGAGCAUGGUCUUGAAUUCCUUUCAACAUCCUCAUCCACGUGUGAGAUGGUCAGCUAUUAAUGCAAUUGGUCAGCUAUCAACAGACUUAGGUCCAGAUUUGCAAAUUCAGUUCCAUCAGCAUGUGCUGCCGGCUCUAGCUGCAGCUAUGGAUGAUUUCCAAAACCCUAGAGUACAGGCACAUGCAGCUUCAGCAGUUCUUAACUUCAGUGAAAACUGCACUCCAGAAAUUUUGACACCUUACUUAGAUGGGAUAGUGCACAAGCUGCUUCUACUUCUUCAGAAUUCCAAGCAAAUGGUUCAGGAGGGUGCCUUAACUGCUUUAGCUUCGGUAGCUGAUUCAUCUCAGGAACACUUCCAGAAAUAUUAUGAUGCAGUUAUGCCUUACUUGAAAGUUAUCUUAGAGAAUGCCACAGACAAGUCUAACCGCAUGCUUCGUGCAAAAGCUAUGGAGUGCAUCAGCUUGGUGGGGAUGGCUGUUGGGAAGGAGAAAUUCAAGGAGGAUGCUAAACAGGUAAUGGGAGUGCUAAUGUCACUGCAAGGAUCACAAAUGGAGACCGAUGAUCCUACUACCAGUUACAUGCUACAAGCAUGGGCCAGACUUUGCAAGUGCUUGGGUCAGGAUUUCCUUCCUUAUAUGAGUGUGGUCAUGCCUCCUCUGCUCCAGUCUGCUCAGCUAAAGCCUGAUGUUUUCAUCACAUCUGCUGAUUCAGACAAUGAAAUUGAUGAAUCAGACGAUGAAAGCAUGGAGACCAUAACCCUUGGGGAUAAAAGAAUUGGGAUUAAGACUAGUGUCCUAGAGGAGAAGGCCACCGCUUGCAAUAUGUUGUGCUGCUAUGCUGAUGAGUUGAAGGAAGGUUUUUACCCAUGGAUUGAUCAGGUUGCCCCAACAUUGGUUCCUCUUUUGAAAUUUUAUUUCCAUGAAGAAGUCAGGAAGGCUGCUGUCUCAGCAAUGCCGGAGCUGUUGCGGUCUGCAAAACUGGCUGUCGAUAAAGGAAUUGCUCAGGGUCGUAAUGAGAGUUAUAUUAAGCAGCUCUUAGACUUCAUUGUUCCUGCUUUAGUGGAAGCCUUACACAAGGAACCUGAUAUAGAGAUCUGUGCAAACAUGUUGGAUGCGUUGAAUGAAUGUGUGCAGAUUUCAGGAUCUCUUUUAGACGAGAGGCAGGUUAGAAGCAUUGUGGAAGAGAUAAAACAGGUGAUCACAGCUAGCUCAAGUAGAAAAAAGGAGAGAGCUGAGAGAGCCAAAGCUGAAGAUUUUGAUGAUGAGGAGGGAGAACUUCUUAAAGAGGAAAAUGAGCAAGAAGAAGAAGUAUUUGACCAAGUUGGUGAAAUAUUGGGAACUUUAAUUAAAACAUUCAAGGGCUCCUUCUUACCUUUCUUUGAUGAACUGUCAUCAUACCUGAUGCCGAUGUGGGGAAAGGACAAGUCGGCUGAAGAGAGAAGGAUUGCCAUUUGCAUCUUUGAUGAUGUAGCUGAGCAAUGCCGUGACUUAGCUCUGAAGUAUUAUGAUACAUAUCUUCCAUUCCUCUUGGAGGCAUGCAAUGACGAAAACACAGAUGUCCGACAGGCUGCUGUAUAUGGACUCGGAGUGUGUGCUGAGUUCGGAAGUUCUGUGUUUAAACCACUUGUUGGAGAGGCUCUUUCGAGGCUCAAUGUAGUUAUUAGGCACCCAAAUGCUUUGCAGCCGGACAAUGUGAUGGCAUAUGAUAAUGCUGUUUCAGCUCUUGGAAAGAUAUGUCAGUAUCAUCGUGAUAGCAUUGAUUCAGCUCAGGUGGUUCCUGCCUGGUUGAAUUGUUUACCAAUAAAGGGUGAUGUUAUUGAGGCAAAAGCUGUUCACGACCAGCUUUGCUCAAUGGUUGAGAGGUCGGAUUUGGAACUUCUGGGGCCCAACAAUCAGCAUCUCCCGAAAAUUGUUUCUGUUUUUGCUGAGGUUCUCUGUACUGGCAAGGAUCUUGCCUCGGAGCAAACUGCCAGUCGAAUGGUAAAUUUGUUGAGGCAGCUACAACAGACACUGCCUCCAGCAACCCUGGCCUCCACGUGGUCGUCCUUGCAGCCUCAGCAGCAGCUGGCGUUGCAGACAAUUCUCUCAACGUAGUGGUCGUGACUGAUGAUGCGUGCAGCAAUAGUUGAUUUUGUGCCGGUCAAGCAUUUGUUCGUCCAUUCUUUCCAAUGAGAGAGAUGUUCCGCAUUCUUUUGCGCAAGUUUUUGGUCGAGCCCUCCAUUUCAAGACGAAAUGGAGGAGAGUCUGUGGACUGUAUAUUACAAGGUCACCCGUGUUGCAUCCAAAACCAGGCCUUUGGAUUAUGUUGAACAAUUGAGUAAGAGAAUAAUAUGUGAACCUUCAACUACUCCCAUGAUAAAAGAGGUAGAUUUGGGCCACCGCCUCGCCUCGCCUCGCCUCGCCUCCUCCAAGCCGUUCGGAGAGUCCAAAUGUUUCAUAGAGCCAAAUCUAAAAUAAUAUAAUCGCCCCCUCGAAUCGAAGUAUAGAAAUAGUAUGUAGUAUUUUAUUACACUACAUGUAACAUAAACUUCAGUAGCCUAAGGGUGACUCUUACUCUCUCUUCUAAAAUACUUAUUCUUCUGAUCUAUAUUGUAUCUUCUUCUCUGUGUACCAAAGUAACAUUUAAAAUUAUUAUGAGAUUUAAAUGUUUACUUGCAUUUAAA
Molecule: RNA transcript, 4194 nt
Organism: Salvia splendens (bonfire salvia)
Lineage: Eukaryota; Viridiplantae; Streptophyta; Magnoliopsida; Lamiales; Lamiaceae
Gene name: importin-5
Exons: 22
Source: RefSeq, a predicted model, not a curated record